RNAcentral lists this ribosomal RNA (460 nucleotides) under uncultured bacterium. RNAcentral describes it as "partial 16S ribosomal RNA". It matches the Rfam family "Bacterial small subunit ribosomal RNA", at positions 338 to 795 of the family's 1533-position model. The record is from RNAcentral.
CCUACGGGCGGCUGCAGUGAGGAAUAUUGGUCAAUGGACGCGAGUCUGAACCAGCCAAGUAGCGUGCAGGAUGACUGCCCUAUGGGUUGUAAACUUCUUUUAUAUGGGAAUAAAAUGUUCCACGUGUGGGAUUUUGUAUGUACAAUAUGAAUAAGAGUCGGCUAAAUCUGUGCGAGCAGCGGCGGGAAUACAGAGGAUCCGAGCGUUAUCCGGAUUUAUUGGGUUUAAAGGGAGCGUAGGUGGAUUGUUAAGUCAGUUGUGAAAGUUUGCGGCUCAACCGUGAAAUUGCAGUUGAAACUGGCAGUCUUGAGUACAGUAGAGGAGGGCGGAAUUCGUGGUGUAGCGGUGAAAUGCUUAGAUAUCACGAAGAACUCCGAUUGCGAAGGCAGCUCACUGGACUGCAACUGACACUGAGGCUCGAAAGUGUGGGUAUCAAACAGGAUUAGAUACCCGUGUAGUC